Molecule: ribosomal RNA, 253 nt
Filed under: uncultured bacterium
Lineage: Bacteria
Description: partial 16S ribosomal RNA
Rfam family: Bacterial small subunit ribosomal RNA
Source: RNAcentral
UACGGAGGGUGCAAACGUUGCUCGGAAUCAUUGGGCGUAAAGCGCACGUAGGCGGCCUGUUAAGUCGGAUGUGAAAGCCCCGGGCUCAACCCGGGAAGUGCAUACGAAACUGGCAGGCUUGAAUAUGGAAGAGGGUCGCGGAAUUCCCGGUGUAGAGGUGAAAUUCGUAGAUAUCGGGAGGAACACCAGUGGCGAAGGCGGCGACCUGGGCCAAUAUUGACGCUGAGGCACGAAAGCGUGGGGAGCAAACAGG